AGGGAAUCUUCCGCAAUGGGCGAAAGCCUGACGGAGCAACGCCGCGUGAGUGAUGAAGGUCUUCGGAUCGUAAAACUCUGUUAUUAGGGAAGAACAAACGUGUAAGUAACUGUGCACGUCUUGACGGUACCUAAUCAGAAAGCCACGGCUAACUACGUGCCAGCAGCCGCGGUAAUACGUAGGUGGCAAGCGUUGUCCGGAAUUAUUGGGCGUAAAGCGCGCGCAGGCGGAUCAGUCAGUCUGUCUUAAAAGUUCGGGGCUUAACCCCGUGAUGGGAUGGAAACUGCUGAUCUAGAGUAUCGGAGAGGAAAGUGGAAUUCCUAGUGUAGCAGUGAAAUGCGUAGAUAUUAGGAAGAACACCAGUGGCGAAGGCGACUUUCUGGACGAAAACUGACGCUGAGGCGCGAAGGCCAGGGGAGCGAACGGGAUUAGAUACCCCGGUAGUCCUGGCCGUAAACGAUGGGUACUAGGUGUAGGAGGUAUCGACCCCUUCUGUGCCGGAGUUAACGCAAUAAGUACCCCGCCUGGGGAGUACGACCGCAAGGUUG
RNAcentral lists this ribosomal RNA (548 nucleotides) under uncultured bacterium. Its description in RNAcentral is "bacterial SSU rRNA". It matches the Rfam family "Bacterial small subunit ribosomal RNA", at positions 356 to 896 of the family's 1533-position model. The record is from RNAcentral.